RNA transcript from Aphis gossypii (cotton aphid), 1490 nucleotides. It is a transcript of the gene named death-associated inhibitor of apoptosis 1-like, with no coding region annotated. The transcript is spliced from 3 exons. Lineage: Eukaryota; Metazoa; Arthropoda; Insecta; Hemiptera; Aphididae. The record is from RefSeq and is a predicted model, not a curated record.
AAGAUUUUAAAAAAAAAAAAUGUUAUAUAAUAGGUAUCGAAUAAAUUAUCGAAUUCUAUUAAACAACUUAAAUGUGUUAUUAUUCAAUCCUUUAUCUUGUAAAUACGUGACCUAAUGGAUAAGGCGUGAAGUUCUGUUUAAAUAAUAUAAGGUUUAAUUUCAGGUUUGAUGCAAAUUAAUUUGAAGCAUACUGAAACGGAAAGGGUAAAAUUAUAUUGUUUGAUAGAGAUGGUAAAUUAUGUGCGACUAUAUUUUUUUAUUAUUUGACACCGAAUAUAAUAUUUUUAUAAAUAUGCUAAUUAUUAUAAUGAGAUCACACCGUUCUAAAUCAAAUCAAAAUUAUGAUUAUUAUUUCAUAAGACGGAAAUAAUAUGUAGAUUAUUAUAAUGAGAUCACACCACUCUAAAUCAAACCUAAAUUAUAAUAAUUAUUAUUUCGAAAAGUACCGAGAGUAAAUGUGCCGUAUCAUAUCAUUCACCUCACACUGCUCAGCACAUAGACGACACACGGAAAUUUUUUAAUAUUUCAACUUUUCAAAGAACAUUGUAAGUAUAUAUCAUUAAACGUAAAAUAUAAAAUAGGUAGUUAUAAAUCUAAGUUAACUUUUUUUUUUUUUUUUUUUUUUUUUUACUUAUAUAAUAUCAACAGUUUUAUCGUAAACAUUGAACAACGGUCUCACAAACUUAUAAUAUAUCAUACCACAUCACGACGCUCAACACAAACACACACGGAAAAAGUUCAUUUUUUUUUCAAAUAUUUCAACUUCACAAAAUAUCAAUUAUGUCUUCAAUCGUUUCAAACAAUACACGGGAUAGAAAAAUCAACAAUAUUCUAGAAUCUUUAGAAUAUUAUCGUACUAACCCAGAAAUCACCUUUAGAUAUGUAGGAGAUUAUUACCCAUUUAUGGUAAAGGAUCAUAUAUUAAAUAUUUUAACCGAUCCACUUCGAAAUUAUACAUUAGUUGAACUGUGUAUACAAAAUGUAGGAACCCAAAAGUGGUGUAGCAGUGCAUGUUAUCAUGAUGAAAGAUCUGGCGGUUUUCAAACUUAUUACAAUUCUAUAUACCAGUUUGUUCGAUUUAAAGAUAUAGAAGCGUUUAAAGAUUAUUGUUAUUAUACAAAAUGUAUAUUAUGUGGUCGGUUUUUAACAAAAGGAGUUUGUUUAGAAAGUAACCCAUUCCCUGCUAGUAUUGACGUCGUACCUGUACCCGUAACAUAUUCAAGUUUUUUUGUUUUAGAUAUGAUGAGAAAUAUAUCUCAUCAUUAAAAUUUUAACUAACGAUAAAACAAUUUUUUCUAAGAUGUAUACAUUUUAAAACGUUAAUUAUAUUGUUAUUUAGUUUAUUGUAAAAACGCUGUUGAAUAAUGAUAGUAAAAUAAAUAUUAAAAUCGCUACUAUUCUUUUAACGAUAAACAAUUAUACACAGUUUAAAAUAACAUUUAUUAUUAUUAUUAUUAUUUUUUUUUUCCUUAAUCGAAACCAUAUUUAUC